This 478-nucleotide ribosomal RNA is filed under the name Anastrepha caballeroi. Its description in RNAcentral is "partial small subunit ribosomal RNA". It matches the Rfam family "Bacterial large subunit ribosomal RNA", at positions 1920 to 2605 of the family's 2925-position model. The record is from RNAcentral. Lineage: Eukaryota; Metazoa; Arthropoda; Insecta; Diptera; Tephritidae.
AUUUUAAAUGGCCGCAGUAUUUUGACUGUGCAAAGGUAGCAUAAUCAUUAGUCUUUUAAUUGGAGGCUGGUAUGAAUGGUUGGACGAGGUAUAAGCUGUUUCAUAUGAAUUUAUUAUAGAACUUUAUAUUUUAGUUAAAAAGCUAAAAUUUUAUUAAAAGACGAGAAGACCCUAUAAAUCUUUAUAUUUAGCGUUGUUUAAGUUUUUUAGAUUUAUUUUAUUUUUACAAUGUUAAAUAUUUUGUUGGGGUGAUGUUAAAAUUUAAUGAACUUUUAAUUAUUUAAAAUCAUUAAUUUAUGAAUUAUUGAUCCAUUAAUAUUGAUUAUAAGAUUAAGUUACUUUAGGGAUAACAGCGUAAUUUUUUUUGAGAGUUCAUAUCGACAAAAAAGUUUGCGACCUCGAUGUUGGAUUAAGGUAUAAUUUUGGGUGUAGCUGUUCAAAUAUUAAGUCUGUUCGACUUUUAAAUCCUUACAUGAUC